AAGACCUUGCACUUUUGGAGCGGCCGAUGUCUGAUUAGCUAGUUGGUGGGGUAAUGGCCUACCAAAGCUUCGAUCAGUAGCUGGUCUGAGAGGACGGCCAGCCACACUGGGACUGAGACACGGCCCAGACUCCUACGGGAGGCAGCAGUGGGGAAUUUUGGACAAUGGGCGCAAGCCUGAUCCAGCCAUGCCGCGUGAGUGAAGAAGGCCUUCGGGUUGUAAAGCUCUUUCAGCCGGGAAGAAAAGGCUGCGACUAAUAAUCGCAGUUCAUGACGGUACCGGAAGAAGAAGCACCGGCUAACUACGUGCCAGCAGCCGCGGUAAUACGUAGGGUGCGAGCGUUAAUCGGAAUUACUGGGCGUAAAGGGUGCGCAGGCGGUUUUGUAAGUCAGAUGUGAAAUCCCCGGGCUUAACCUGGGAACU
RNAcentral lists this ribosomal RNA (423 nucleotides) under uncultured bacterium. RNAcentral's name for it is "bacterial SSU rRNA". It matches the Rfam family "Bacterial small subunit ribosomal RNA", at positions 207 to 622 of the family's 1533-position model. The record is from RNAcentral.